AAAUUGAAGAGUUUGAUCAUGGCUCAGAUUGAACGCUGGCGGCAGGCCUAACACAUGCAAGUCGAACGGUAACAGGAAACAGCUUGCUGUUUCGAUGACGAGUGGCGGACGGGUGAGUAAUGUCUGGGAAACUGCCUGAUGGAGGGGGAUAACUACUGGAAACGGUAGCUAAUACCGCAUAACGUCGCAAGACCAAAGAGGGG
Molecule: ribosomal RNA, 203 nt
Filed under: Shigella flexneri
Lineage: Bacteria; Pseudomonadati; Pseudomonadota; Gammaproteobacteria; Enterobacterales; Enterobacteriaceae
Description: partial 16S ribosomal RNA
Rfam family: Bacterial small subunit ribosomal RNA
Source: RNAcentral